GGGGGCGAAUGGUUUCGACCGGGCAGGUUGAGGUCUGGGUGGCGUGUCGAGGUUGCUAGGAGGCCUCGUAAAACACCUGGCACACUGUUUACAUGCCAGAGAUGGCUACCGAAUGGCUGCCUAAGUAAGGCAACCCGUCGGCCCCGCGACGCCUGCUAGCGGGUGCCGGCGCCAUUAGCAGGCUGGCUCGUGCGGCCUGGUUGGGAACCGGUUCCACCGGUCACCAAUCGGGAAUGCCUGGCGACGCACGGGCGACACUAAGCCGGGCUCGGUCCGUCGAUGAGCUGUCGGCCGGUCUGCGGCGG
This 305-nucleotide transfer-messenger RNA is filed under the name Phycisphaerae bacterium. Its description in RNAcentral is "partial transfer-messenger RNA". It matches the Rfam family "transfer-messenger RNA", at positions 1 to 270 of the family's 374-position model. Rfam says of the family: Bacterial tmRNA, also known as 10Sa RNA or SsrA, is named for its dual tRNA and mRNA-like properties. Its role is to liberate the mRNA from a stalled ribosome. The record is from RNAcentral. Lineage: Bacteria; Pseudomonadati; Planctomycetota; Phycisphaerae.